This 342-nucleotide ribosomal RNA is filed under the name Triticum aestivum (bread wheat). RNAcentral describes it as "partial small subunit ribosomal RNA". The record is from RNAcentral. Lineage: Eukaryota; Viridiplantae; Streptophyta; Magnoliopsida; Poales; Poaceae.
AUGAGUGUAUUUAGAUUGCCGGCUUCUGUCUGUGAUGACCUUACAAAAAUGAUGAGGCAGUAUUGGUGGGGGAUAGAGCAUGGAAAGAGAAAGAUGGCAUGGCUAAGUUGGGAGAAAAUGAAGUUACCAAAAGCAAUGGGGGGCAUGGGAUUUAGAGACAUGCGUGCGUUCAAUCAAGCCUUGCUGGCUAAGCAACCAUGGCGGCUACUAGAUACCCCGGAGAGCUUGUGUGCUCGGUUGCUUCGAGCCAAAUACUUCCCUCAUGGAAAUUUAUUGGAUACUGUUUUUCCCUCUAGCUCCUCGGCGGUGUGGAAGGGGAUCAUGCAUGGGCUAGCAUUGGUG